RNAcentral lists this ribosomal RNA (624 nucleotides) under uncultured Aquificales bacterium. RNAcentral describes it as "bacterial SSU rRNA". It matches the Rfam family "Bacterial small subunit ribosomal RNA", at positions 1 to 645 of the family's 1533-position model. Lineage: Bacteria; Pseudomonadati; Aquificota; Aquificia; Aquificales. The record is from RNAcentral.
GCGGGAUUAGUUUGAUCAUGGCUCAGCGCGAACGUUGGCGGCGUGCCUAACACAUGCAAGUCGUGGGGCAGCAGGCUACUGUCUUUUGGCAGUAGUGCUGGCGACCGGCAAACGGGUGAGUAACACGUAGCUUACCUACCCAUAGGUUAGGGAUAACAUCCCGAAAGGGGUGCUAAUACCCAAUAAUGAGGAGACUCCAAAGCCCUUAUGGGUGCCUAUGGAUGAGGCUGCGUCCCAUCAGCUAGUUGGUGAGGUAAUGGCUCACCAAGGCUACGACGGGUAACCGGUCUGAGAGGAUGACCGGUCACAGUGGGACUGAGACACGGCCCGCACCCCUACGGGGGGCAGCAGUGGGGAAUAUUGGGCAAUGGCCGAAAGGCUGACCCAGCAACGCCGCGUGGUGGAUGAAGCCCUUCGGGGUGUAAACACCUUUUCUGGGGGAAGAUAAUGACGGUACCCCAGGAAUAAGGGACGGCUAACUACGUGCCAGCAGCCGCGGUAAUACGUAGGUCCCGAACGUUGCGCGAAUUUACNNNNCGUAAAGGGUCCGUNNNCGGUUUAGCAAGUGGUUGGUGAAAUUUCACGGCUCAACCGUGAAACUGCCUUCCAAACUGCUAAACUUGA